This 743-nucleotide ribosomal RNA is filed under the name uncultured bacterium. Its description in RNAcentral is "bacterial SSU rRNA". It matches the Rfam family "Bacterial small subunit ribosomal RNA", at positions 94 to 823 of the family's 1533-position model. The record is from RNAcentral.
AGCGGCGGAUGGGUGAGUAACACGUGGGGAACCUGCCCCUAAGUCUGGGAUACCAUUUGGAAACAGGUGCUAAUACCGGAUAAUAAAGCAGAUCGCACGAUCAGCUUUCGAAAGGCGGCGUAAGCUGUCGCUAAGGGAUGGCCCCGCGGUGCAUUAGCUAGUUGGUAAGGUAACGGCUUACCAAGGCGACGAUGCAUAGCCGAGCUGAGAGACUGAUCGGCCACAUUGGGACUGAGACACGGCCCAAACUCCUACGGGAGGCAGCAGUAGGGAAUCUUCCACAAUGGACGCAAGUCUGAUGGAGCAACGCCGCGUGAGUGAAGAAGGUUUUCGGAUCGUAAAGCUCUGUUGUUGGUGAAGAAGGAUAGAGGUAGUAACUGGCCUUUAUUUGACGGUAAUCAACCAGAAAGUCACGGCUAACUACGUGCCAGCAGCCGCGGUAAUACGUAGGUGGCAAGCGUUGUCCGGAUUUAUUGGGCGUAAAGCGAGCGCAGGCGGAAAAAUAAGUCUAAUGUGAAAGCCCUCGGCUUAACCGAGGAACUGCAUCGGAAACUGUUUUUCUUGAGUGCAGAAGAGGAGAGUGGAACUCCACGUGUAGCGGUGGAAUGCGUAGAUAUAUGGAAGAACACCAGUGGCGAAGGCGGCUCUCUGGUCUGCAACUGACGCUGAGGCUCGAAAGCAUGGGUAGCGAACAGGAUUAGAUACCCUGGUAGUCCAUGCCGUAAACGAUGAGUGCUAAGUGU